Molecule: non-coding RNA, 100 nt
Organism: Aspergillus avenaceus
Lineage: Eukaryota; Fungi; Ascomycota; Eurotiomycetes; Eurotiales; Aspergillaceae
Source: the annotation of a GenBank genome assembly
AGUCGCGUGGUCUAAUGGUUAUGAUAUCUCGUUCACAAAGUGAGCUCAGGCUACUUCGGUAGUUCCGAGAUGGUUCCCGGUUCGAUCCCGGGCGCGACUA